CCUACGGGAGGCAGCAGUAGGGAAUCUUCCGCAAUGGACGAAAGUCUGACGGAGCAACGCCGCGUGAGUGAUGAAGGUUUUCGGGUCGUAAAACUCUGUUGUUAGGGAAGAACAAGUGCUAGUUGAAUAAGCUGGCACCUUGACGGUACCUAACCAGAAAGCCACGGCUAACUACGUGCCAGCAGCCGCGGUAAU
RNAcentral lists this ribosomal RNA (195 nucleotides) under uncultured bacterium. RNAcentral describes it as "partial 16S ribosomal RNA". It matches the Rfam family "Bacterial small subunit ribosomal RNA", at positions 338 to 524 of the family's 1533-position model. The record is from RNAcentral.